This 1968-nucleotide small RNA is filed under the name Arabidopsis thaliana (thale cress). RNAcentral describes it as "ATSL009080". The record is from RNAcentral. Lineage: Eukaryota; Viridiplantae; Streptophyta; Magnoliopsida; Brassicales; Brassicaceae.
AAUUAUUAAUAAAAUUAAAUAAAAUCAGUAAAAAUUGGUACGUUUAUUUUAUAUACAAUUUAAGGAAAAUUUAAUUAUUUUGAAUAACAAUUAGGUUUUAUUAUGUUAUCCAUAUUAGGAAAAGGGGAUGAGAAAGGAAUAGUACAUUUAACCAAUUAACUUUUGGCAUACAGUAGAUUCAUAUUUCAUUUCAAUUCUAAUUGAAAACACUGAACAAUUUUGGCGUAAUUUUAGAUUUCACAAUUUAUGGAAAGAUGUAAGAUAACUUCCUUCUUAUUAUCUUGUUAGUUUUAAAGCUUGUCAAUAAGGUUUUCGCCAUACUGUCUGAUUACACAACGAUUUUCAACUAAUUGUUUUGCAAACAUUUCAGUGGUUUUUGCAAACGAAAAAAACUCCAAAUCUUUAUCAGCUUAUUUUACACAAAUGAAACUGAAUAACAACGAUUUCAACAACACACAAGAAAGCUUAAAACAUACAAGAAAUCUCUCAUGAUUCCCACUUGGUUCUCAACUUAUCAACAUGCUUAAACUCAAAUGUCAACACUAAACUCUUAUCCUUUCUCCUCAAUUCAAAGCUCUCCACCAACACAUAACAUCUAUAACUCUUCCAAUUCGAACCGCCUCCAUUAAAUCUCUCAGAUUUCUUAACCACUGCUCUUUGCGGUUCAAUCUUCCACCCGAAUCUCUCCUCUUCCCAUUUCAUCCUCUCCAUGACCACAGAUCUCAAACCUAUCCUCUUCUCUGCAACCGCAAACCAAAAAACCCCAUUUUCAUCCACCCUUUUUGUAUUUUUCCCAAUUUCUUGUCCCUCAAGCUUCACAACUUCUGGUUCCACUUCAACAUCAACUACAACCUCGCGGUUUUCGUUGUAAGCGUUUUCACAAGAGUAAACCUCCUCCCAUCUUUGUAGAAGAAUCAUGCUGUAAUAAGCUGAGCUCUUAAGCUGAUCCUUUGCAUUUCCUUCCUUCACAAAUAUGAAAGGGACAUACCAUUUUCCUACCACAACGCUUGUAUUAAAAUCACUAGGAAGCUCAGAACGAAUCUCAGUGUAAAUACCUUUUGCAUCAUCUUUUAGACCAAAGUCCUCAGAUGUCGAGUACUCAGCGUUCCAAUACUUUCUCUUAAGAAACUCUGGUGGUUUCCCGUUAGGAGCAACAGAAGUGGCAGUGUAAUAGCGAGAUGAUGAUCGUUUUUGAUGGAUCUGGAAUUGCUGAUAUAUGUCAUUAGGAUCUGCUUCUUGUGGCUUAGCUUCAGGAACAUAGCUGAAACAAAAACAGCAGGGGACUCUGUCUUCCUCUUUCGCAUUAGCCGAAGCUUUUCUACAACACAACAAAUCCUUGUAAAUCACGUCACAAAACAAAGAAAGUUGAAAUUUUGCAUAAUUUUAAGUCAUAACAUACCCUGAGUGUUUCCCGCCUCGUUUAAUGACAUAGUAACGGUUUGAAGAUAAGGGUUGAUCAAGAACAGGAAUGAAAACGACAGGAUCUAUAUAAGUAAUCGUCUGGUUAAGAAAUAUGCGGCUUUCAGAUACAAUCAGGUUCGCGUUCUGUGGGAAAGGUAAGCCUUUGAGUGUAGCCCGGUAGCAAGAUCCGAAGCAACAAGUUGGCCUUGACUCUUCAUCUUGAAUUAUAAGUACGCCGGAGUUUGGACUUUCCGGCAACUCCGAUCUGUUUCUUUGGUAUUCCGACAAACGCCUCGUAACAUACAUUUUUGGUUAUAACCGGCGAAGAUAUUUCAGUGGUUUUUGUGAUUCAUAUGAGUUCUGAUUGGGUCUAUAUAUAUGUAGACUACUAGGAUAAGACAAUUUGUAACCCAAAAAAAAAAAAGAGACUUUUCUAAGAUCUUGACUUGGCUUUUACGGAAGUCUUUUUGUUAUGGCAGUUUCUAUGUACCUCACAUUGUUUUGAAAUUCUGUCACUCAAUUUAAGUGGUCCCUAGAAUUAAAAAGCAAGUUAUCAGCAAUUGAUUC